RNAcentral lists this ribosomal RNA (451 nucleotides) under uncultured bacterium. Its description in RNAcentral is "partial 16S ribosomal RNA". It matches the Rfam family "Bacterial small subunit ribosomal RNA", at positions 354 to 796 of the family's 1533-position model. The record is from RNAcentral.
GUGGGGAAUAUUGGACAAUGGGGGGAACCCUGAUCCAGCCAUGCCGCGUGUGUGAAGAAGGCCUUUUGGUUGUAAAGCACUUUAAGUGGGGAGGAGGCUUACCUGGUUAAUACCUGGGCUAAGUGGACGUUACCCACAGAAUAAGCACCGGCUAACUCUGUGCCAGCAGCCGCGGUAAUACAGAGGGUGCAAGCGUUAAUCGGAUUUACUGGGCGUAAAGCGCGCGUAGGUGGCCAAUUAAGUCAAAUGUGAAAUCCCCGAGCUUAACUUGGGAAUUGCAUUCGAUACUGGUUGGCUAGAGUAUGGGAGAGGAUGGGAGAAUUCCAGGUGUAGCGGUGAAAUGCGUAGAGAUCUGGAGGAAUACCGAUGGCGAAGGCAGCCAUCUGGCCUAAUACUGACACUGAGGUGCGAAAGCAUGGGGAGCAAACAGGAUUAGAAACCCCGGUAGUCC